GUACCUAUGUGUGAAUGGUGUUCAGCACCAAGGACAGGUAUGUUCACCUAUGUGUGAAUGGUGUUUAGCAGCAAGAACUGGGGACUGUAACA
RNAcentral lists this microRNA precursor (92 nucleotides) under Branchiostoma floridae (Florida lancelet). RNAcentral describes it as "mir-2060 microRNA precursor family". It matches the Rfam family "mir-2060 microRNA precursor family". Lineage: Eukaryota; Metazoa; Chordata; Leptocardii; Amphioxiformes; Branchiostomatidae. The record is from Rfam by way of RNAcentral.